GCUGAGUCCAAAAAGAGAGUCAGUGAAGGGAGAUAGGGGUGGGGCAAUUUUAUAGGAUUUGGGUAGGUAAAGGAAAAAGGGGGGUUGUUCUCUGGCAGGCAGGAGUGGGGGCCACAAGGUGCUCAGUAGGGGAGCUUUGGAGCCAGGAUGAGCAAGGAGAAGGAAUUUCACAAGGUAAUGUCAUCAGUUAAGGCAGGAACCGGCCAUCUGGAUAUGUACAUGCAGGUCACAGGAGAUAAUGAUGGCUUAGCUUGGGCUCAGAGGACUGACACUCUUCCUCCAGAGGAGGAGACCCAGACAGAAGAGGAGGAGGCAAGGUGAUCACAGAGGCAGAGAUUGGAUCAUGCAGCCACAAGUUGAGGAAUUCUAGUAGCCUCUACAAGCUGGAAGACGCAAGGAAUGGAUUCUCCCCUAGAACCUCUGAAGGAGCAUUCUCCUGCUGACAUUUGAUUGAUUUUGGACUUCUGGCCUCCAGACAAUUAAUUUUUUUUUUUUUUCUUUUUUUUUUUCAGACAGAGGCUUGCUCUGUUGCCCAGUCUGGAGUGCAGUGGCAUGAUCUCAGUUCACUGCAACCUCCACCUCCCAGGCUCAAGCCAUUCUCUUGCCUCAGCCUCCCAAGAAGUGGGGACUACAGGUGCCUGCCACCAUGCAUGGCUAAUUUUUGUAUUUUUAGUAGAGACGAGGUUUUGGCAUAUUGGCCAGGCUGGUCUCGAAUUCCUGGCCUCAAGUGAUUCACCCAACUCAGCCUCCCAAAGUCCUGAGAUUACUUAGGUGUGAGCCACGGCACCUGACACAGACAUUGUUUGAAGCCACCCAUUUCAUGGUUCUUUGCUGCAGUGGUUGUGGAAUAUGAAUGCACUCGUGCUGUUGGUUAGACUUUGCUGACCUUGUGUCUGUUAUUCCCUGGCAGUUCUACAAGGCCUGGAGCUGAUAGGAAAAACCUCCCUUCUUUCCCAAAUGGUCCCCAGCUGCCCCGUUCACUGAAGGCCCUGCAGUCAGGAACGGUCAGGACUUCACACCCAGUUGUUGUGGGUGUUUGGCCGACACGACACUUCCUCUUGUGUGAUUCAUGGACCCGCAGCAUUGCGUCACCUGGGAGCUUUUGGUAUUGAAGACUCUCAGGGCUCACCCGGAAGGACCUGCUGGGCCAGAAUCUACAUUUUAACAAGAUGCCCAGAAACUCCUGGAGGGCAGAGGCAUGCCUGCCAUCUUCAUCAUUGCAUUACCACCACCCAACACUAUCGGGGGACCUGCCCUGAUAAUCAGUUCCUCCCACUGAAGAAUC
RNAcentral lists this long non-coding RNA (1285 nucleotides) under Homo sapiens (human). RNAcentral's name for it is "HSALNT0132595". Lineage: Eukaryota; Metazoa; Chordata; Mammalia; Primates; Hominidae. The record is from RNAcentral.